Molecule: small RNA, 120 nt
Filed under: Martinezella paranaensis
Lineage: Bacteria; Pseudomonadati; Pseudomonadota; Alphaproteobacteria; Hyphomicrobiales; Rhizobiaceae
Description: Rhizobium paranaense ar15
Rfam family: Alphaproteobacterial ar15
Source: RNAcentral
AUCUGAUGGGCGUGGCGGUCUUUUCCUCCCAGUGCCGCCGCAUCGACUGGUCUCCUCUGGAGGUUUUGAACCUUCAUACCUAAUACCAAAGCUCGAUGAUUAGAACUCAUUGGCCCAUUU